UACGUAGGGGGCAAGCGUUGUCCGGAUUUAUUGGGCGUAAAGAGCGUGUAGGCGGCCAGAUAGGUCAGCUGUGAAAACUCGAGGCUCAACCUCGAGACGUCGGUUGAAACCAUCUGGCUAGAGUCCGGAAGAGGAGAGUGGAAUUCCCGGUGUAGCGGUGAAAUGCGCAGAUAUCGGGAAGAACACCCAUGGCGAAGGCGGCUCUCUGGGACGGUACUGACGCUGAGACGCGAAAGCGUGGGGAGCGAACAGG
RNAcentral lists this ribosomal RNA (253 nucleotides) under uncultured bacterium. RNAcentral describes it as "partial 16S ribosomal RNA". It matches the Rfam family "Bacterial small subunit ribosomal RNA", at positions 524 to 776 of the family's 1533-position model. The record is from RNAcentral.